UUCACAUUGGCUCUGCUCUUCUCGGAACCUGCUGCGUUUUAAUCCGCCGCGAUGAGCUUUUAUUUUCUGGACAUUUCAAUAACGUGAGCGGAGUUUUACACGUGGACAGACUGAGUUCUUCACUCCGGAGCAGGAUGAGAGCGGCAGAUUAUCGACGCUUUGUUCUGUACACAGAAUGUCUCGAUGCAUUAAUGCGUGUCGUUUAUAAAUUAUAAUGUUGCGAGCGAUUCUUCGACUGUAAUCGCAAGGUGAGAAACAUCGCUUUCAUGCAGUGACGUCACGCCGGACGGGCCUAUUGUUAUUAAUCUUUGUUCUGGAUUUGGACCUCGUUUUGGUUUUGUUAUUCUCAAAUGAUUUGCAAUGCUUAAUUUAUUUUUUUUAUUUUUUUUAAAUGAGAUAUUUAAUUUACAGUAGAGACCGGGGUUAGUUGUCACGUGCUGUAAUUUUAUGUCAACUACAUACAAUUCUUUAGGCCAAAACUGGUUUGGUAUAUAAUUACAUUAUUCAUAUAUUUAAAUAACAUAUAAUGACCUCAUAUACUGGAAAUUAUAUCAUGAGAAUUAUGCUCUGAAAUACAUAGUGUGACAACUAGCCCCUGUCUCCCUCACAUGAAUGCACUUUAUUGUGUGACAGUCACUGGUCCGUACAUUAAUACUGCUGGUGUUUCAUUGCUCUUUCUCCAAAGUUACUGUUUAUGAGGAACCAUACAUGCUCAAAGUGUGCAAAAGCAUUUGAAGUCUGAGAAUAAGGUGAGCUGUACAUUUUUCCUUUGAAUAGAUUCUACAGAAGAUGCACUAAUCUGUGACUCUUUUCUCAUGUGCUCAUCGUUUAAUUGUGUUUCAUCCUCAGGUCAGCAUGACCCUGGCGUUGACCCCUGCGGCCGUGUGCCAGUGCUUCACGCUCGUGUCGCUGUGCACGUCUAUAGCGGAUCCCAACUGGAUCCAGGUCCAGAACUGCUCCGAUUCGAACAGCAAUCUCAUCUACGGUGUGGCCUUCACUCUGCACGCGUAUCAGAAUCUCACAGACACAGGUCCGUUGGGUGGGCUGCACGGAUGGGGGAUGUGGCUGCUGUACUCUCUAGUGGCUCUCUGCUACAGCGCCGUCCUGUUUUCCAGUUCCUCUUUCCUGCUGGAUUUCCUCACAGCAGCUGUCACUCACUCAAAGCUGAUCACGUUACUGCACGUCUCUACAGCGUUCUUCUGCGUGGCGGUUGUGGGUGUGUGUGCGGCCUGCAUGAGUGUGAUUGAACACAACCUGCAGCGAGGGAAGACUGAAAGCCGCCCGGCGCUCUGCAUGUCUGCAGGAGAAAGCUUUUACAUCGAGAUCGUGGGCCUGCUCUUCUCCUUAAUAGCGUGCACUUUGGCCCUCAAGGGUCGUCCUGAACCCAUCAGGCCCUGUGACUACCUGAGCGUGGAAGGAGUGGACAGUGACACGGAGCCUUUGAUUGGUGGAGCUGCGAGGCAGGAGUAAACAGACAGAGUUAUGCUCUUUAUUUUAAUGGCAGAACAUCGAGAGCAAUGCUGAACAAGAGCUGCUGUGAGAUCAGGUGAUCUCAGGAGCGUGUACAGAAUUUAAGAAUCGGCUCCUUCCGGUUCAUGAGUGUGAAUUUGAAUUGAAUUGAUCACAGCAUACAGGAUCUCAGAAGUUAUGAACAGUAACAUUAAUAGAACGUUAGUUCAAAGUGAUUUAGUCUUUAAUAACGUUCUCAAAACAUUAGCGCAGAAACAUUAUUCAUACAUCAUUUACUGAAAUGUUUGCCUUGGACAUUCAGCCAACGUUUUUUAAAUGUUGCCGCUUGUUUCAGAACAUUCCGAGAACAUUCAAAAGUAACACUCUUUGCAAAAAUGAUUAAAAUGGAAUGUUACAAAAUGACUUCAAAAGUUUAAAAACUGGGCAUUUGAAAUGUUCAGAAAGAACGUUUUCAUAACUUAAUUGAAACGUUAGCGAAAUGUUGGCUGGGAUGUAGAAUUGACAGGAUUUAAUUAUUUAAUUAAAUUACAAUUCAAAGAAAUUCAACAAUCACACAAAAGUGAAAACAAGGGUUUCGAUAAAAUAUUAAUUAUGUCAUUAAUUUGGACUACUUUAGGUGCUAAUAUGUAGAGCACAUUUUUUUCUAAAUUGACUUGACAUUUUUCUCUAAUAUUUGGCUCUAUUUUUAGCCUCAGGUAAACUGGAGCAUUCUGGGAAAUGAAGUCUUCUACUGUAAUGAUUAAAUUAAUCAAAUUUUACUUCACAUGAGUAAUGAAUUAAAUAAAGACAUUUUUAAGUGUGACGUAAGUAACACAGCUGCUGUAUAUGAAUUAAAUACAGAUUCUAAAAAUAUUAGUAGCAUCAUCUAAUGUUUCUUAAAAUGUUGUGUGAUGAGAACAUGUUUUUGGGUAAUUUGGGUAAUGAAUUUCAUUCUAUUCUAAUUCUACUUAAUUGGCAAUUCUGAUUCCUGUUUGCUAAUUCAAUUCAAAUUCAGUUCAUGUUCUAUAUUCACCUCACUGAUGCUGCGGCAGGAGCACAAAUACACACUGAUGCUGCCUUCAAGUCCUGCUGGAUUAUAUUCAUGAGUUCAGAAAACACAUUGAUGAAAUAAUGAGCAAAGUGCAUUUGGUCAGAAUAAAAUAAAAGUGUUGGGCAGCUUCAUAUUUCUCUCUAUUUUGCACUUACAGACAAACACGGGAGGCAUUUUGUUGCACAAAUGCAGAAUAAUGAAGAGCGAAGGAUGAACUUUAGGAGCGCCUCUAUCUGUGUGUUUCAUUCUACUGCAGAGAAUUAUGGGAAAUGUAGUCUUUCUGUAAAUAAGAUCAUUCCAGCAUGACUUGAAGGCAGCAUGAGAUCCUUCAGUUACCUGUGGUGAAACUCAUACAUGAGCGUAUUCUGUGCAGGUUUUUUCUGCUAUUGGACCAAAUACAUAAACCACUGAAGGCACACUUGGUUUGAUUCAGGGUUUUGAGAGCUCUUGUGCUCAAUUAUAAAAACAAGUGCUCCAUUUAAACCGUCCCAACAUAUUUUAAUGCAUAAUCUUUAUUAUUCAAUUUAUACGUAAAUAAGAAGAAUUCAUAUAGUACUUAAUAUAAUCCACUACAUUGUGAACAGAAAGUGGACUGAGACCCGAUCAACAUUCAGAUCGACUAAACUGUGAUCGGAGCCCACUUUCUAGUCCACACACAGUGUGAAUGCAAACAGAACUGAAUUCUUUUUCACUUCACUUUUGACUCGAGUGUGAAAACUAACAUAUUCAGGGCUGUAGUUGUUUUCUUGGCGAUCACUGAUGUGAUUUCUGUAGAGAAACUAGUAAACAAAUCAAACAGCAAUCCUCAACGUGCCUUGAGCUUCCUGGAAGAAAGAGCUGUUAAAUCACCAGCUCCUCCGUCAAACAUCAACAAACAACACACUUUAUUUAUUAGUCACUUCCUGUCAUGUCACAGUGUCAGCUAGCUUUGAUUAAGAUGAGGUCAACCUUUCAGUUUUCUGUUUUGUUUUUCUGUUCAUAUUGUAUUUGUAUUCCCUCUUUUAACCUGAAUGAUAUUGCACCAUUUAUUUGAUAUUCUAGUAUUUUACUGGAAUUAGGAUGUCGUUCAAACCCAAAACGACAGUUCUGUCAUCAUUUACUCAACCUCAUGUUGUUCAAACCGGUAUGACUUCCUUUCUUCUCAUUGACAGGAAGAUUAUUAGUGAAUAAUGACUUAAAUGUGGUUCUGUUCCACAGUAAUUACAGUUAACUGAGACUGAAAGUAAGACUUAAAAAAAACAUUCUGUUACUUGAAAUACUGUUACAUUUCCAAAACCUUUCAGAAAAUUUCCAAAUAAUCCCAGCACGUUUUCAAAAUGUCCAAAGUUUCGGAAAUGUUCCGCCUUUUUGCAACCCUACUUGAAAUAAAAUAAUCAUUAACUGAAAUAUAAUAAAAUAUAAAAAAUAAUAAUAAGCUUAUUUAAUUUCAGUUAGUUUCCACAUCAUCUUUUCUUGUUUUCGUUCCUAUUCUCUGAAAUAAAAAUAUAAUAUAUAAUAAAUCAUUAAAACUGAAUAGACAUUAAAAAACAAACAUUAAAAUUGCUAAAACUUGAAAAUUAAAGUGAAAACGGAAAAUAUACAAAUUAAAUCUCAUUCAAAAUAUUAACAAAAACUAGUAUAGUGAUACUAAAAUAACACUAUUCAGAUUUUCAUACUAAAUGUCUUAUAACUUCAGAAGACUUAAUAUAACACAAAACAUAUGUACUAUUGUUUAUGAAUGUUUAAAUUAAUGUUUGGACAAUGUCUUGGUCCUUUUCGGAGCUUGAAAGUCAUACAGGUUUGAGCAGCAUGAGUAAAUCUCAUUCAUAUGCAUCUAUAAUGAAUAUCACUGCAUGUUUCACUGUAAUAUUUCAUUUGUCCUGUAAAGAAUAUAAUAACAGAGACAUGUCAAACACUGUGAGGCUAUAGGAUACUAGGACUGAGUCUGAAGAGGAUUAAUACAGUCUGUGUUUACGUUUAUGUAUUUGUGUGAAGCCAUUUUUAAUCACAUGUAUUAUAAAAAAUGAGUUUCUGUUCUAAAGUUGAUGUAUCAUAACACUCCUCAAUGAUCUGGACUGAUAUAGACAUACACAGAUCUUGUUGAAAAUGCAUCUCUGGAUGACAGCAGUGGAAUCAUGGGAAGCGGAGCUCUGCUGUGCCUUAAUUUCUCAGCUCUCUCUCUAAUUACACUCCAUCCGUCACAUGACACCAGCUUGUGCUCCAGUUGGACGGAGACCAUCGCCAUAGUAACCUUGAGAAGUUGUUGCUGUCACCGACCGAGUUGUGAAUGGAGAGAGAGAGAAAACAGAGCGAGAUAUGAGAUGUUAAACAUUUGAUGGUUUCAGUAUAACGGGACGUUUUUCGGUUGUCUUCAGUCUAGUAUUUGUGAGUGUGAGUUGUGCAUAUUAAACACUAAACCAUAUCUUGUGCUGUAGAAGCGUGUUCAGAGAGAGAAAUGAUGUGAAACUCAUAAGUCUGUGGAUCUUUAGUACUGAUAUUUACACUGACAGGACUGUGUUGUGUGGAAACGUGCUGCUUCUGUGACUGAACAAGCAUUGAUCCUCUCAAAUGUUUCUUGUGAGUUUGUUUUUAAAACUGUGCAUGCAUAUAUCAUGAACAUUCAUUCUGAUGCUGUUUAUGCCUGUUGAAUUUAAGUUUACUGUUGCAAAAGACUUAUUUGAAUGUUUAAAUGAAGAUAAGUUACAAC
Cyprinus carpio carpio is the source of this 5186-nucleotide long non-coding RNA. NCBI's taxonomy places the organism in Eukaryota, Metazoa, Chordata, Actinopteri, Cypriniformes, Cyprinidae. The record is from Ensembl.